UGAGCCUGGCAGGAGGAGAAGGUGGGGGGUAGCCACUGGCAGCCAGCAAGGCCCAGCGGGUCCUCUGAAUAUCUGAAAGCAUGCAACAGAUGUUCGCCCAGUUCACUAAAGGUACUGAAUACACGGUGGAUGGAUGGAUGGAUGGAAGACAGGUGAGAAAAGGCAACACCCUUUGAGGGCUGAUGAUGGCCCAUACUGCUCUCCGGUCUGUUUCAAUAACAAUAAAUAUAAUAACGAUCA
Molecule: non-coding RNA, 240 nt
Organism: Odocoileus virginianus texanus
Lineage: Eukaryota; Metazoa; Chordata; Mammalia; Artiodactyla; Cervidae
Source: RefSeq, a predicted model, not a curated record